AACGAACGCUGGCGGCAGGCCUAACACAUGCAAGUCGAGCGAGCAUUUCGGUGCUAGCGGCGGACGGGUGAGUAACGCGUGGCAACGUGCCCUUUUCUGCGGAAUAGUCCUGGGAAACUGGGGGUAAUACCGCAUACGCCCUUUUGGGGAAAGAUUUAUCGGAGAAGGAUCGGCCCGCGUUGGAUUAGGUAGUUGGUGGGGUAAUGGCCCACCAAGCCGACGAUCCAUAGCUGGUUUGAGAGGAUGAUCAGCCACACUGGGACUGAGACACGGCCCAGACUCCUACGGGAGGCAGCAGUGGGGAAUCUUAGACAAUGGGGGCAACCCUGAUCUAGCCAUGCCGCGUGAGUGAUGAAGGCCUUAGGGUUGUAAAGCUCUUUCAGCUGGGAAGAUAAUGACGGUACCAGCAGAAGAAGCCCCGGCUAACUCCGUG
Molecule: ribosomal RNA, 433 nt
Filed under: uncultured bacterium
Lineage: Bacteria
Description: partial 16S ribosomal RNA
Rfam family: Bacterial small subunit ribosomal RNA
Source: RNAcentral